RNAcentral lists this long non-coding RNA (287 nucleotides) under Pan troglodytes (chimpanzee). Its description in RNAcentral is "long non-coding RNA NONPTRT014143". Lineage: Eukaryota; Metazoa; Chordata; Mammalia; Primates; Hominidae. The record is from RNAcentral.
GAGAGAGAGACAGAGAGAAUUGGAAGAAAAGAUGGGAGAGAAACACCCAUGGCCCACUCCGUGCCCUCAUCUUGUGCCCGUGAAAACUGCAGGCUCAGCCAGCAAAGGCAGGAGAAGCAGCUGGACAUCAGAGAGAAGUGCCUUACUUCAGAGGGACAGCUCGAUGGUGUAAAUUUCAAGAAGAAUCCCAGGAGACAUCUGGACUUUGAGGGAAGAUUACCUUCCUUCUCUGUCUGCUUUUCAGCUCCUCUUCCCUCUGAGAGCCACGUCCAACAGCAAUAAAAUCC